This 374-nucleotide ribosomal RNA is filed under the name uncultured bacterium. Its description in RNAcentral is "bacterial SSU rRNA". It matches the Rfam family "Bacterial small subunit ribosomal RNA", at positions 521 to 896 of the family's 1533-position model. The record is from RNAcentral.
UAAGACGGAGGGGGCUAGCGUUGUUCGGAAUGACUGGGCGUAAAGGGCGUGUAGGCUGUUGAUCAAGUCAAGCGUGAAAGCCUCGGGCUUAACCCGAGAACUGCGUUUGAUACUGGUUGACUUGAGGACGAGAGAGGAAAGUGGAAUUCCGAGUGUAGAGGUGAAAUUCGUAGAUAUUCGGAGGAACAUCAGAGGCGAAGGCGGCUUUCUGGCUCGUAUCUGACGCUGAGGCGCGAAAGCGUGGGGAGCAAACAGGAUUAGAUACCCUGGUAGUCCACGCUGUAAACGAUGAGUGCUAGACGUUGGGGGGUUCCCCUUCAGUGUCGCAGCUAACGCAUUAAGCACUCCGCCUGGGGAGUACGGUCGCAAGAUUA